Molecule: ribosomal RNA, 455 nt
Filed under: uncultured bacterium
Lineage: Bacteria
Description: bacterial SSU rRNA
Rfam family: Bacterial small subunit ribosomal RNA
Source: RNAcentral
UACGGGAGGCAGCAGUGGGGAAUAUUGCACAAUGGGCGAAAGCCUGAUGCAGCUAUGCCGCGUGUAUGAAGAAGGCCUUAGGGUUGUAAAGUACUUUCAUCGGGGAGGAAAAAACAAAACUAAUAAUUUUAUUUCUUGACGUUACCCGAAAAAGAAGCACCGGCUAACUCCGUGCCAGCAGCCGCGGUAAUACGGAGGGUGCUAGCGUUAAUCAGAAUUACUGGGCGUAAAGAGCACGUAGGUGGUUUUUUUAAGUCAGAUGUGAAAUCCCUGGGCUUAACCUGGAACUGCAUUUUGAAACUGAAAUACUAGAGUAUCGUAGAGGGAGGUAGAAUUCUAGGUGUAGCGGUGAAAUGCGUAGAUAUCUGGAGGAAUACCUGUGGCGAAAGCGGCCUCUAAACGAAUACUGACACUGAGGUGCGAAAGCGUUGGGGAGCAAACAGGGAUUAGAUACC